Molecule: ribosomal RNA, 529 nt
Filed under: uncultured bacterium
Lineage: Bacteria
Description: bacterial SSU rRNA
Rfam family: Bacterial small subunit ribosomal RNA
Source: RNAcentral
AAUACAUACCCGGGUAGUCCACGCCGUAAACGAUGAGUGCUAAGUGUUAGAGGGUUUCCGCCCUUUAGUGCUGCAGCUAACGCAUUAAGCACUCCGCCUGGGGAGUACGGUCGCAAGACUGAAACUCAAAGGAAUUGACGGGGGCCCGCACAAGCGGUGGAGCAUGUGGUUUAAUUCGAAGCAACGCGAAGAACCUUACCAGGUCUUGACAUCCUCUGACAACUCUAGAGAUAGAGCGUUCCCCUUCGGGGGACAGAGUGACAGGUGGUGCAUGGUUGUCGUCAGCUCGUGUCGUGAGAUGUUGGGUUAAGUCCCGCAACGAGCGCAACCCUUGAUCUUAGUUGCCAGCAUUUAGUUGGGCACUCUAAGGUGACUGCCGGUGACAAACCGGAGGAAGGUGGGGAUGACGUCAAAUCAUCAUGCCCCUUAUGACCUGGGCUACACACGUGCUACAAUGGAUGGUACAAAGGGCUGCAAGACCGCGAGGUCAAGCCAAUCCCAUAAAACCAUUCUCAGUUCGGAUUGUAGG